AAUGUACUCCCACGGUCCAAAAAUACUUAUCAUAAGAAUCAAUGUAUCUAGAUGUAUUUUAGUUUUAGAUACAUCCAUUUUUAUUCAUUUAUGUGACAAGUAAUUUCGGACAAAGGGAGUAUGUG
Non-coding RNA from Hordeum vulgare subsp. vulgare (domesticated barley), 125 nucleotides. NCBI's taxonomy places the organism in Eukaryota, Viridiplantae, Streptophyta, Magnoliopsida, Poales, Poaceae. The record is from Rfam.